Molecule: ribosomal RNA, 2598 nt
Filed under: Staphylococcus aureus
Lineage: Bacteria; Bacillati; Bacillota; Bacilli; Caryophanales; Staphylococcaceae
Description: bacterial LSU rRNA
Rfam family: Bacterial large subunit ribosomal RNA
Source: RNAcentral
AGAUUAAGUUAUUAAGGGCGCACGGUGGAUGCCUUGGCACUAGAAGCCGAUGAAGGACGUUACUAACGACGAUAUGCUUUGGGGAGCUGUAAGUAAGCUUUGAUCCAGAGAUUUCCGAAUGGGGAAACCCAGCAUGAGUUAUGUCAUGUUAUCGAUAUGUGAAUACAUAGCAUAUCAGAAGGCACACCCGGAGAACUGAAACAUCUUAGUACCCGGAGGAAGAGAAAGAAAAUUCGAUUCCCUUAGUAGCGGCGAGCGAAACGGGAAGAGCCCAAACCAACAAGCUUGCUUGUUGGGGUUGUAGGACACUCUAUACGGAGUUACAAAGGACGACAUUAGACGAAUCAUCUGGAAAGAUGAAUCAAAGAAGGUAAUAAUCCUGUAGUCGAAAAUGUUGUCUCUCUUGAGUGGAUCCUGAGUACGACGGAGCACGUGAAAUUCCGUCGGAAUCUGGGAGGACCAUCUCCUAAGGCUAAAUACUCUCUAGUGACCGAUAGUGAACCAGUACCGUGAGGGAAAGGUGAAAAGCACCCCGGAAGGGGAGUGAAAUAGAACCUGAAACCGUGUGCUUACAAGUAGUCAGAGCCCGUUAAUGGGUGAUGGCGUGCCUUUUGUAGAAUGAACCGGCGAGUUACGAUUUGAUGCAAGGUUAAGCAGUAAAUGUGGAGCCGUAGCGAAAGCGAGUCUGAAUAGGGCGUUUAGUAUUUGGUCGUAGACCCGAAACCAGGUGAUCUACCCUUGGUCAGGUUGAAGUUCAGGUAACACUGAAUGGAGGACCGAACCGACUUACGUUGAAAAGUGAGCGGAUGAACUGAGGGUAGCGGAGAAAUUCCAAUCGAACCUGGAGAUAGCUGGUUCUCUCCGAAAUAGCUUUAGGGCUAGCCUCAAGUGAUGAUUAUUGGAGGUAGAGCACUGUUUGGACGAGGGGCCCCUCUCGGGUUACCGAAUUCAGACAAACUCCGAAUGCCAAUUAAUUUAACUUGGGAGUCAGAACAUGGGUGAUAAGGUCCGUGUUCGAAAGGGAAACAGCCCAGACCACCAGCUAAGGUCCCAAAAUAUAUGUUAAGUGGAAAAGGAUGUGGCGUUGCCCAGACAACUAGGAUGUUGGCUUAGAAGCAGCCAUCAUUUAAAGAGUGCGUAAUAGCUCACUAGUCGAGUGACACUGCGCCGAAAAUGUACCGGGGCUAAACAUAUUACCGAAGCUGUGGAUUGUCCUUUGGACAAUGGUAGGAGAGCGUUCUAAGGGCGUUGAAGCAUGAUCGUAAGGACAUGUGGAGCGCUUAGAAGUGAGAAUGCCGGUGUGAGUAGCGAAAGACGGGUGAGAAUCCCGUCCACCGAUUGACUAAGGUUUCCAGAGGAAGGCUCGUCCGCUCUGGGUUAGUCGGGUCCUAAGCUGAGGCCGACAGGCGUAGGCGAUGGAUAACAGGUUGAUAUUCCUGUACCACCUAUAAUCGUUUUAAUCGAUGGGGGGACGCAGUAGGAUAGGCGAAGCGUGCGAUUGGAUUGCACGUCUAAGCAGUAAGGCUGAGUAUUAGGCAAAUCCGGUACUCGUUAAGGCUGAGCUGUGAUGGGGAGAAGACAUUGUGUCUUCGAGUCGUUGAUUUCACACUGCCGAGAAAAGCCUCUAGAUAGAAAAUAGGUGCCCGUACCGCAAACCGACACAGGUAGUCAAGAUGAGAAUUCUAAGGUGAGCGAGCGAACUCUCGUUAAGGAACUCGGCAAAAUGACCCCGUAACUUCGGGAGAAGGGGUGCUCUUUAGGGUUAACGCCCAGAAGAGCCGCAGUGAAUAGGCCCAAGCGACUGUUUAUCAAAAACACAGGUCUCUGCUAAACCGUAAGGUGAUGUAUAGGGGCUGACGCCUGCCCGGUGCUGGAAGGUUAAGAGGAGUGGUUAGCUUCUGCGAAGCUACGAAUCGAAGCCCCAGUAAACGGCGGCCGUAACUAUAACGGUCCUAAGGUAGCGAAAUUCCUUGUCGGGUAAGUUCCGACCCGCACGAAAGGCGUAACGAUUUGGGCACUGUCUCAACGAGAGACUCGGUGAAAUCAUAGUACCUGUGAAGAUGCAGGUUACCCGCGACAGGACGGAAAGACCCCGUGGAGCUUUACUGUAGCCUGAUAUUGAAAUUCGGCACAGCUUGUACAGGAUAGGUAGGAGCCUUUGAAACGUGAGCGCUAGCUUACGUGGAGGCGCUGGUGGGAUACUACCCUAGCUGUGUUGGCUUUCUAACCCGCACCACUUAUCGUGGUGGGAGACAGUGUCAAGCGGGCAGUUUGACUGGGGCGGUCGCCUCCUAAAAGGUAACGGAGGCGCUCAAAGGUUCCCUCAGAAUGGUUGGAAAUCAUUCAUAGAGUGCAAAGGCAUAAGGGAGCUUGACUGCGAGACCUACAAGUCGAGCAGGGUCGAAAGACGGACUUAGUGAUCCGGUGGUUCCGCAUGGAAGGGCCAUCGCUCAACGGAUAAAAGCUACCCCGGGGAUAACAGGCUUAUCUCCCCCAAGAGUUCACAUCGACGGGGAGGUUUGGCACCUCGAUGUCGGCUCAUCGCAUCCUGGGGCUGUAGUCGGUCCCAAGGGUUGGGCUGUUCGCCCAUUAAAGCGG